GAGGAAACUCAUUAUAACGAGGUCCACUCUCGUGCCCGCGCAGUUGUGGAGCGUGCCAUCGGCAUCCUGAAAUGCAGAUGGCGUGCUCUGGAUGCCUCGGGUGGCAGACUUUUAUACCAUCCAGCAAAAAGUGUGCAAGAUUGUCAGGGCGUGUGGUGUUUUUGCACAAUAUAGCACUGAGAAACGGUAUUCCUCUCCCUCCUGAUCUCCCUCUACCCCAGCAUUACGACCCCGAGCCACAGCCCCCUGGCCGACAAGAGGGAUAUCAACGAGGUGCAAGAAUCCGUGAGGAUGUCAUGCGGCGUUUGUAAAGAAAGACAAAAACUCAAGGACUGCGUCAGUGAGUACCCGACCACUUUUGGGACGUGCCAGACGCAGAAGGGGCACUGCUUUGAGCCGGACGCUGUGCAUCUGCAUCUGAGAACCCCUCACCCUGAACCUCCUGUUCAUUUACAGCUUCAGACUCCGGAAGGACUGGAGGACAAACAAUUGGCAACAUUUAUCCAUUUAUCACCCCACACACUCAAAUGUACAGCGUUAAUGAUUAAAAAUCGGUUUAACCUUGCUCCUCUGUGGUUUCAGUCACGUCAGUGUCUCCCUCCUUUUCCGACACAAUACCACACACGCUGACCUCCCCAAUUAUAGCCGCGAUUUUUGCUGUCCACUGAUGUGAGAUCAGCUGUACAUGGGCCCCCACCAGUUGCAGCCACGCUCUGGCGGUGGGAGGACAGUUUUCUCUUUGCCUCCACCUUGAAUGAAUGAGAAUCUUUAUUUCACAUAUUUUGCAUACUGUAAGCACAUGUAAAUAAAAACUUUUUGAAAAAUCAAUAUUGCUAUUUAUAUAGGUAUAUAGCCUAAUAAAACACAAAUGUAAUAUGUUGGUAAAAAAAAAAUUUGUAUACCUUCAGGUCGGACCAUUUUUUCUUUAAUUCUGCAACUGUCCGUUCUGUCCCACUGACACAAUUGACGGCAGAAGCAAUACUUUGCCACUCGCACUGCUUCUUUUUAUUAGUGACCCCACUGCUGUGGCCACCAAAUAACACAGUUUUCCGAGCCUCCACCUCCCCUACAAGUGUUUCAAUCUCAGUAUCUGAGAAAUUACGUUUUUCCUCUUUUUCUCACCUGUCGCCAUUAUUAAAAUUAGGCUAACAGAAAUGCACGUUUUCACUUUCUUGGAUUAAUUAAUUGGCGGGUCGCAUGCCAGUUUUCCAGGUAUAUAUGGGAUUCCACUCUCAUUUACAUGCUGAUCAGCAAUCAUGAGGUGAUUUGCAUUGACUAUUUAUGGUUAAAAAUGGGCGUGUACAGGGCGGGAUAUGAGGCUGGUUCACGUACGCACAUCUGCGGGUGAUCUGUGAUUUAUAAAGGGAACAUUGCUUACAGGUGUGCGUACGCACGGUUUUAUAAAUCGGAAUAUUUUUUGGCGUACGCCAUUUUUGGCUUUUGGGCGCACGUAAACUUUUAGUAAAGAUCCUACGCAUAGUUUUAUAAAUGAGACCCCAGGCAAAGUUUGACGCGUGGUAUGGCACGGUCUCGGGUAAAUUCUUUCAUUUCAGGAAGGAGUUGUACGUGUACUGCGUGAUUGUCUUAUUACGUGAAGCGUGCAUGAAAUACAGAGAAGCGUUCAUAGACUCGAUUCGUUUAACUUUACCACUCUUGCGAGCUGUUGUAUGUUGUAUGUAGACAGCUACUACGAACAGGAUGUGAUAAGGUACGGCCUAUAAUUCAAUGGUUGUUUUUUCCAUGGCCACAAAUGGCACUUUGAACCCCAUAAUACCCACCCCUUGUCAGGCAUACCUUUCUGAGUUCUCAGAAGACAGUUUGACGACAAGGUUGAGAUUCUGCAAAACGCAUACGGCUUGAAAAUAGAGUUCCUGUGGGAGUGUGAAUGGAACAAAAUGAAACAGACUGACCCCUCGGUGAUUACGUUUGAGUACUUAUUCGGCUCCCGAGUGCCUGAACCCUCGAGAUGCCCUUUUUGUUGGACGCAUGAACACUUACAAACUGUAUCACAAAACGACCGAAGAGGAGAAAAUAAGUUACGUCGAUUUUACCAGCUUAUACCCCUUCUGCCAAGCUAGGAAAAGCUAUCCGAUCGGCCACCCCAAAAUCAUUUAUAAUGAUUUUGAACCAAUUUAAAAUUAUUACGGACUUAUCAAGGCCACUGUGUACCCCCCGCGCAAAUUACUCCUU
Cyprinus carpio carpio is the source of this 2190-nucleotide long non-coding RNA. The record is from Ensembl. NCBI's taxonomy places the organism in Eukaryota, Metazoa, Chordata, Actinopteri, Cypriniformes, Cyprinidae.